Molecule: ribosomal RNA, 342 nt
Filed under: uncultured Fusobacterium sp.
Lineage: Bacteria; Fusobacteriati; Fusobacteriota; Fusobacteriia; Fusobacteriales; Fusobacteriaceae
Description: bacterial SSU rRNA
Rfam family: Bacterial small subunit ribosomal RNA
Source: RNAcentral
UUAGAGUCUGAUCCUGGCUCAGGAUGAACGCUGACAGAAUGCUUAACACAUGCAAGUCUACUUGAACUUCGGUUUGGGUGGCGGACGGGUGAGUAACGCGUAAAGAACUUGCCUCACAGUUAGGGACAACAUUUGGAAACGAAUGCUAAUACCUGAUAUUAUGAUUUUAGGGCAUCCUAAGAUUAUGAAAGCUAUAUGCGCUGUGAGAGAGCUUUGCGUCCCAUUAGCUAGUUGGAGAGGUAACGGCUCACCAAGGCGAUGAUGGGUAGCCGGCCUGAGAGGGUGAACGGCCACAAGGGGACUGAGACACGGCCCUUACUCCUACGGGAGGCAGCAGAAGGG